Molecule: transfer RNA, 32 nt
Filed under: Sclerophylax adnatifolia
Lineage: Eukaryota; Viridiplantae; Streptophyta; Magnoliopsida; Solanales; Solanaceae
Description: partial tRNA-Phe
Source: RNAcentral
GCCCGGGAUAGCUCAGUUGGUAGAGCAGAGGA